UGUCUGCUGGUUGAUGGUUCAAGAUG
This 26-nucleotide non-coding RNA is filed under the name Mus musculus (house mouse). Lineage: Eukaryota; Metazoa; Chordata; Mammalia; Rodentia; Muridae. The record is from RNAcentral.